CGGGCAACAGGCAAUACUGCGCUUGCGCAGCCCCUGGGAAGAAGGCGUGGCAGUAUUUACGAUAAAAGGAGACGCCAGAGAACGUAUCAUGGGGCAUGGAACAGAUACAAUUUGUUUUGUACACAAGCUAUGAAAGAAUCAUAGACCAAGCCAUGUCACGGGAAUGUAAACAUAAUCUUUAUGCUGAUUGGAUUUAACAGAUCAAUUAGUCAAGGAAAAUGUGAUUACAGUGACUCAAUCUAGAUACAAAUGGAGAGAACAUGUGAACAAAGCAGAUCAUGUUUUGGACCUGAUGCAAUUCUUGCCUCUCUUGGAUAUUACAGGAAAUAAGAACAUUUCUUCUGAAAUUAAUAAACAAGUUUUCCUGUCACUGGCAACAA
Molecule: long non-coding RNA, 380 nt
Organism: Rhincodon typus (whale shark)
Lineage: Eukaryota; Metazoa; Chordata; Chondrichthyes; Orectolobiformes; Rhincodontidae
Exons: 3
Source: RefSeq, a predicted model, not a curated record